GAAUUGAUCAUCUUUUACAGGAGUACAGAGAUGCUCUCUAAAAAAGCAACCUGAUAGCAAGUUUUUUUAAUUAUUUGAGUGGAGAGAAGGGGGAAAGAUGAGAACCCAGACAAGGGGAAAGCUUGUCACAGCCUGCUCUAGGAGAAUUUGGGGCAACAAGGAGAAACAGGGGCAGGUUCAUGACUGGCUGGAUUCCUCCACUGCUCCAGUUAAUUCAGAGAAGCACUCAAACUAACAGCCUUUGGGAAAAAGGUGGGACCCAAUGUGAUAUCAUGGAAGACCAGUGGAGACCUAAUGGGAAUCCAGCCUGCAGACUGGCAUUUUUCAGAGUUGCCUGAGUUCACUAGGUUUGGAAAGACUCUUGACCAACACGUGUUGGCCACGGCCUCUGGAUGAGGAAAUCUCGGAGGAAAAUACUGAGAUGAACCUGAGCCUCUCUGGUGAAUUCUUCGUUUCAAUGGUGGAAUAAGUGGCCACAGAUCCAAAUGAGAAAUACAUUACCUAAGUUUAUUAGGAACUUAAUCAUCCAGUAAGAGACCAAGAACCUUGGAUGAACUUCUCAGUGACUCCAGCUCUAGCAUUCAGCAGAGGAAUUAAAAACAUAACAGGCUAAUGAAACACUGUUAGAAUCACCCACCCAUCAGUUAAGUAAAAUGCUCCUUCUUAAAGUUAUUCAAAACAAAAACAAACACAAAAGACUAAAAAAGAAAUUUAUCCUGAUUGGAAAGAUUAUGGUCUGUCUGAUCAUGAACAUAAACUCUAAGGUCUGCCUAGAGUCAAUACUGGCAAUAAGAUUCUUAGCUUUUAAAGAAGAUGAAUUCAGUAGUUGGAAUAAAACACAUGAAUUAUAAAUUUCUAUUAUGGAACAUCUGAGUAUGAUGUCCUGUGAGAGUUAAGAAAAAGAGAAAAACUUUGUCUCAGCCAAGAAAAGAAGCUGGAACUAUAACCAUUUACAUUCUGUGAAAGAAAAUCAUAAAGAUGCUGUUCAUAGUUAUUGAUUUUUGAAAGAGGAUAAGACAUAAAUUAUAUAUAUAUACAUAUACAUGCACUACGUACAUCCCUACCAACGGUGUGUUAUAGAGAUAUUUCAGCUAUCUCCAUAUGACGUCCAGCAUGACAAUAGAAUGACAUUGAGGAACCUGUCUAUCACAUGCUAUAUACACUCUGCCUGGGGAGAACAAACUCUGGACUCAGGACCUAUCUGUGAUCCUUAAUGUUAAAUUUCUUUCAAAACCGUCUACUAUUCAGGAUACUGGAACAUAUUUGUAGAGUUCCUCUCACAUCAUUUAUCAAAGAGCUUUUCAACAUCUCAGCUCCAGAAAGGUAAUCCCAACCCAUGAGAACUCAAAAGAACAGUGCAAAGUAAACAAACCCUGACCAGACGGACAGAAGGUAUGCAUGAGAGGAAGAGUAGCUUUCUCACUAAAUUCCUUGUCAUUUUAUGCCAUCUAUGAUAGAUUAGCAGUGUCUGGCUGA
Molecule: long non-coding RNA, 1476 nt
Organism: Gallus gallus (chicken)
Lineage: Eukaryota; Metazoa; Chordata; Aves; Galliformes; Phasianidae
Source: Ensembl